UACGUAGGGUGCAAGCGGUAAUCGGAAUUACUGGGCGUAAAGCGUGCGCAGGCGGUUUUGUAAGUUUGUCGUGAAAGCCCCGGGCUCAACCUGGGAAUGGCGAUGAAGACUGCAAGGCUUGAAUCUGGCAGAGGGGGGUAGAAUUCCACGUGUAGCAGUGAAAUGCGUAGAGAUGUGGAGGAACACCGAUGGCGAAGGCAGCCCCCUGGGUCAAGAUUGACGCUCAUGCACGAAAGCGUGGGGAGCAAACAGG
RNAcentral lists this ribosomal RNA (253 nucleotides) under uncultured bacterium. Its description in RNAcentral is "partial 16S ribosomal RNA". It matches the Rfam family "Bacterial small subunit ribosomal RNA", at positions 524 to 776 of the family's 1533-position model. The record is from RNAcentral.